GACGAACGCUGGCGGCGUGCUUAACACAUGCAAGUCGAACGGAAAGGCCCUGCUUUUGUGGGGUGCUCGAGUGGCGAACGGGUGAGUAACACGUGAGUAACCUGCCCCUGACUUUGGGAUAACUUCAGGAAACUGGGGCUAAUACCGGAUAGGAGCUCCUGCUGCAUGGUGGGGGUUGGAAAGUUUCGGCGGUUGGGAAUGGACUCGCGGCUUAUCAGCUUGUUGGUGGGGUAGUGGCUUACCAAGGCUUUGACGGGUAGCCGGCCUGAGAGGGUGACCGGCCACAUUGGGACUGAGAUACGGCCCAGACUCCUACGGGGGGCAGCAGUGGGGAAUAUUGCACAAUGGGCGGAAGCCUGAUGCAGCAACGCCGCGUGCGGGAUGACGGCCUUCGGGUUGUAAACCGCUUUCGCCUGUGACGAAGCGUGAGUGACGGUAAUGGGUAAAGAAGCACCGGCUAACUACGUG
This 468-nucleotide ribosomal RNA is filed under the name uncultured bacterium. RNAcentral describes it as "partial 16S ribosomal RNA". It matches the Rfam family "Bacterial small subunit ribosomal RNA", at positions 28 to 507 of the family's 1533-position model. The record is from RNAcentral.